CGUGUAGGCGGCCUUUUAAGUCAGACGUGAAAUCCAUGGGCUUAACCCAUGAAUUGCGUUUGAAACUGGAGGGCUUGAGGAUCGGAGAGGGCAGUGGAAUUCCCAGUGUAGCGGUGAAAUGCGUAGAUAUUGGGAGGAACACCAGUGGCGAAGGCGACUGCCUGGACGACACCUGACGCUGAGGCGCGAAAGCUAGGGGAGCAAACGGGAUUAAAUACCCCGGUAGUCCUAGCCGUAAACGAUGGGUACUAGGUGUGGGAGGUAUCGACCCCUUCCGUGCCGCAGUUAACACAAUAAGUACCCCGCCUGGGGAGUACGGCCGCAAGGUUGAA
RNAcentral lists this ribosomal RNA (332 nucleotides) under uncultured bacterium. RNAcentral describes it as "bacterial SSU rRNA". It matches the Rfam family "Bacterial small subunit ribosomal RNA", at positions 568 to 898 of the family's 1533-position model. The record is from RNAcentral.